UCUGGAACCAAGUUAGUGACACAGACGUGAACUCUCUCUACCUGGGAACCUCAACUCUAAGAUACAGCCAUGUCUAAUCGUCUGCAAGACCUCAUUAAAAGCAUAGUGGCAUUGUUCGUGGAGUACUCUGACGCUCAGGGCAUGAUCAGCAAGGCGCAGAUGAUGAAGAUGAUGGAUAAUGAUAUUCAAUGCGCUGCUAUGAAAGAAAAGCUCCAUACUACAAAAUGCGACAAGAAUCUCUGCGACUUCAGAGACUUUUCUUCUUGUGUGGAACAAGUGGCCGUUUGCUGCUACCAAAACAACACUGGCAAGGGCCAAGACUGGGAAGUCUGCUCAAAAAAGUGAAAAUGGCAUAAUGUUACACUCCCUACAUGAGAAUGUUAUGUUUACUGUCUUACUGUCAAUUGGUUUUCAAAGGCCCUUCAAUACUGGCAA
Molecule: long non-coding RNA, 435 nt
Organism: Gymnodraco acuticeps
Lineage: Eukaryota; Metazoa; Chordata; Actinopteri; Perciformes; Bathydraconidae
Exons: 3
Source: RefSeq, a predicted model, not a curated record